GCAGAGAAAAGAAGGCAGAGAUGAGAAAGAAGAAUAUUUUUGGAUGGAGGCUGAAACAAAAAAAUAGUCCUGAAUCGUCAGACAACCUUGAAGACUUGAAUUCAAGCCUUGAAAACACUGCUGAUGGAAUGAAAGAUACAGCGGAGAGGAGAGAUCAAGCUGAGGUGGCAAGUAUAGCUGAAGGAAGCAAUUCUGCAUCUAAAACUGUUCUUAAGAAUCCACGCAAGAGUGGGAGGAAGAUGGAUUCUCUUCUUUGUAACUAGACAAAGGAGCAUCAUUCUUUUGUUUUAGAACUACAGAAGCAGAAUCAUGAAUGGGGAAAAAAAAGGAAUGCAACAUUUAACUGAAGAAAAUUACAUGUGCCAGGAAUUGCUAGUUACAUUUCUUGGUGGUCUGGAAAGAAUUAUGAGUCAAACUGCUUCUGGUUACAGCCACUCCCAGCCAUCUCAUUCACACUUCCAUUUGCAGUGGAAGUGUUUGAUUUUUUUGAACAAUAUUUCAUAGUAAGGCAUCAGAAACCAAUAGGUAAACAAAUGUAUUUUUUUUUUUUUAGCAUUGUUUAAUCAUUUUUGAUGUUUAAAACAAAAUAUAAACCCAGAGAAGGAAACAUCUGCAUUGUACCACAUUAACAUGACUUCCUACAAUGCUAAGUUUUGUUUUUGGUUUCUAUUUGUUAUUAUAACACUGUCAAACUGAAAGAUGUUACACAGUAUUGUGAUAAUGUUCAUUUCAAAUUAAAAUUAGUAUAUGAUGUGCUCAACCCAAAGACUUGAAAGAAAAGAAGGAAAACCUCAAUAGUUACUUUGCAUGUUAAUGUUAAUUUCAGACAUAGUAUAGAACUUAAAGGUCAGUUUAAAUGUGAUUUAUUUUUUAUUUUUUGCAAUUUCUACAAAUGCUUUUGUAGCCUUUAUCAUAUUUACAUGUCUUAACUCUGCAUGUUAGGCCUUUUGUCCUGUUAUUUUACAACUUAAACUUGUUUCACUUACAUUUCAAGAUGUUUCAGUAAGCAAAAUAUUAUCUUGUCAGGACUGGCUAUAAUGUAAGAGUGCAAUUCAAUCAGUAUUAUUCACAGUUUAAACCAGAUUACCGUUUUUGUUUUGCAACUGUUGUAAUUGGAAAAUCUAUAAACGGAACUUAAACAUGUAUGUAUGUGCGUGCAUACGUAUGUACACGUGCACACACACACUCUUGAACAGACCCUGAAAGCACUACUACUACUACACUGGGAUUGAAUCAAAACUUUGACCCACCUGUUAAUCACAAAUUACAAACUUCGUACUAAUGGUGGUGUUUUCACUUGUCAAAGGGUCCUUGGAUCUACCCCAGAGGGAACACGUCUUUAGCACUGGGUUUGCAAUUUGUGAUAAGCAGGUGGGUCAAAGUUUGGAUUUAGUCUGGCCCCUUCUUUAACACAUCGUAUAAAUUUAUAACCUGGUGUAUUGUGUACGAAGAGGGAAGUUUUCAGCUAAGUAGACAGUAAGGUGUUCUCUGAUUUCUGCAGCUCUACUAGCUGUUGUGAUGUUGUGGCGACAAACUGGUUGUGGUAGCCUCACUUCUGCCUGAAUUUCUUCCAGCCACUGUCCUGGUAUCUGCUCUUUACUUUUCUCGCACAAAUUACGGAGACCACAACAGGUGGCUAUGACAUAGCGAGUAAAAGUGAAGUGAAAAUUGCUCCUCUUACAUAGACACCGCCAUCUUGCCUUCAGCCUCCCAAAUGCUAUCUCUACCACUAUCCUAGCAGAGCUCAUGUAAACAUUAAAUGGCUCCUGUACAGGUGUCAUUUGGGGAGAACUGAUGUAUCCCUUCAUUAGCCACUCAAGUAAUGGGUAGGCUGGGUCUCCGAGGAUGAACAUUGGAAUUUCAUGUUCACCUUUCAUUCUGGGGUGCUGUUUGAAUAAGAAAAAAAACAUUGCAAACUAUUUUAGUUUUUUAUAAUUAUUAGUAAAACUGUAAAUAUGUUAAUACUGCAAAAGUCAUUUUUAUACAACUAGUCAAAUUAUAAAAAAUAAUGAAUACAGUAAACACAGAACCAAUUUCAUUAAAUUUUCAAACAUUAUUUGUUUAUAAUUGUGUUCUAUUAAGAUGAUUGAACAAAUAAAUGUUUACUAAAAUACACUGUGUGUUUUAUGUAUAACUAUCUUGAAUCAACAACUUCUAACCUAAUUAGUGUCUUACCGAGGGUAAUCGAGGUCUGCAUCAUGUGCACAACCUGGCAUGGAGCAAUUUAUGUUCCGGAAACUGCAGGAAAAAAGCAAAAUCAAAUGACUCCACACACCUGUGUUUCUUUUUGUUUGUCUCAUG
This is a long non-coding RNA of Acipenser ruthenus (sterlet), 2301 nucleotides long. RefSeq lists it as uncharacterized. Lineage: Eukaryota; Metazoa; Chordata; Actinopteri; Acipenseriformes; Acipenseridae. The transcript has 3 exons. The record is from RefSeq and is a predicted model, not a curated record.